UUGGGAAUGAUAAAAAAUGUAACAAGGUCUCCGUAGGUGAACCUGCGGAGGGAUCAUUACACAAUAUGCAAGCGGGCUGGGAUCCCCGGGAGGGCGUCUAUUCUGCCGUUUCCGCCGCAUCUGCGGUGCUGAAGCGACAGGGCGGGCGUCUUUUCGGCCAGCCUGACUCCAUAUUCACAUGUCUUUUGCGUACUACUUGUUUCCUUGGUGGGUUCGCCCACCAACAGGACCAUUUAAACCUUUUUGUAAUUGCAAUCAGCGUCAGCAAAACAAUGUAAUAAAUUACAACUUUCAACAACGGAUCUCUUGGUUCUGGCAUCGAUGAAGAACGCAGCGAAAUGCGAUAAGUAGUGUGAAUUGCAGAAUUCAGUGAAUCAUCGAAUCUUUGAACGCACAUUGCGCCCUUUGGUAUUCCAAAGGGCAUGCCUGUUCGAGCGUCAUUUGUACCCUCAAGCUUUGCUUGGUGUUGGGCGUUUUUGUCUCUGGUCCGCCAGCGACUCGCCUUAAAAUCAUUGGCAGCCGGCCUACUGGUUUCGGAGCGCAGCACAAAUUUGCGCUUCUUCCAGCAGCGGUCCGCGUCCAUGAAGCCACUUUUUCAACGUUGACCUCGGAUCAGGUAGGAACUUUCCCCUAAG
RNAcentral lists this ribosomal RNA (635 nucleotides) under Drechslera sp. P6 AF-2016. Its description in RNAcentral is "eukaryotic LSU rRNA". The stretch from base 287 to 440 matches the Rfam family "5.8S ribosomal RNA". The record is from RNAcentral. Lineage: Eukaryota; Fungi; Ascomycota; Dothideomycetes; Pleosporales; Pleosporaceae.